RNAcentral lists this ribosomal RNA (1248 nucleotides) under metagenome. Its description in RNAcentral is "bacterial LSU rRNA". It matches the Rfam family "Bacterial large subunit ribosomal RNA", at positions 1564 to 2820 of the family's 2925-position model. The record is from RNAcentral.
UGAAUACGAGACGCUAAGGCGUCGAAGUAGUGUAUGUCAUACUUCCAAGAAAAGCUUGCACUGUCAUAAGUAAAAAAUGCCUGUACCAUAACCGACACAGGUGGGUAGGUAGAGUAUACUAAGGGGCGCGAGAUAACUCUCUCUAAGGAACUCGGCAAAAUAACUCCGUAACUUCGGGAGAAGGAGUACCUUAUUCUAUAAGGUUGCAAUAACAAGAUCCAAGCAACUGUUUAUCAAAAACACAGGUCUCCGCUAAGUCGUAAGACGAUGUAUGGGGGCUGACGCCUGCCCAGUGCCAGAAGGUUAAAGAAGUCGGUUAGCAUUAGCGGAGCUGGUAACUGAAGCCCUGGUGAACGGCGGCCGUAACUAUAACGGUCCUAAGGUAGCGAAAUUCCUUGUCGGGUAAGUUCCGACCCGCACGAAAGGCGUAAUGAUUUGGAUACUGUCUCGGAGAGGGGCUCGGUGAAAUAGACUUGUCUGUGAAGAUGCGGACUACCUGCACCAGGACAGAAAGACCCUAUGAAGCUUUACUGUAACUUGAAAUUGAAAUUGGACUUUAUUCGCGCAGUAUAGGUGGGAGGUGUUGAUUAUAAUCUUGCGGGAUUAUUGGAGCCAUCAGUUAGAUACCACUCUUGUAAUGUUAGAUUUCUAACUUUGAAUCAUUAUCUGGUCAAAGGACAGUUUCAGGCGGGCAGUUUGACUGGGGCGGUCGCCUCCCAAACGGUAACGGAGGCGUACAAAGGUUUCCUCUGAACGGGUAGAAAUCGUAUCUAGAGUGUAAAGGCAUAAGGAAGCUUGACUGUGAGACCUACAAGUCGAACAGGGACGAAAGUCGGUCUUAGUGAUCUGACGGUACUGAGUGGAAAGGCCGUCACUCAACGGAUAAAAGUUACUCUAAGGAUAACAGGCUGAUCUCCCCCAAGAGUUCACAUCGACGGGGAGGUUUGGCACCUCGAUGUCGGCUCAUCGCAUCCUGGGGCGGUAGUACGUCCCAAGGGUUGGGCUGUUCGCCCAUGAAAGCGGUACGCGAGCUGGGUUCAGAACGUCGUGAGACAGUUCGGUCCAUAUCCGGUGUAGGCGUUAGAAUAUUGAGAGGAGCCUUCUUUAGUACGAGAGGACCGAGAAGGACAUACCUCUGGUGUACCAGUUAUCGUGCCAACGGUAAACGCUGGGUAGCUAUGUAUGGAGUGGAUAACCGCUGAAAGCAUCUAAGUGGGAAGCCCACCUCAAGAUAAGUAUUCUCAUCAC